This 474-nucleotide ribosomal RNA is filed under the name uncultured organism. RNAcentral describes it as "partial 16S ribosomal RNA". It matches the Rfam family "Bacterial small subunit ribosomal RNA", at positions 334 to 799 of the family's 1533-position model. The record is from RNAcentral.
CACUCCUGCGGGAGGCAGCAGUGGGGAAUAUUGCACAAUGGGCGCAAGCCUGAUGCAGCCAUGCCGCGUGUAUGAAGAAGGCCUUCGGGUUGUAAAGUACUUUCAGCGGGGAGGAAGGCAAUACGGUUAAUAACCGUGUUGAUUGACGUUACCCGCAGAAGAAGCACCGGCUAACUCCGUGCCAGCAGCCGCGGUAAUACGGAGGGUGCAAGCGUUAAUCGGAAUUACUGGGCGUAAAGCGCACGCAGGCGGUCUGUCAAGUCGGAUGUGAAAUCCCCGGGCUCAACCUGGGAACUGCAUUCGAAACUGGCAGGCUUGAGUCUUGUAGAGGGGGGUAGAAUUCCAGGUGUAGCGGUGAAAUGCGUAGAGAUCUGGAGGAAUACCGGUGGCGAAGGCGGCCCCCUGGACAAAGACUGACGCUCAGGUGCGAAAGCGUGGGGAGCAAACAGGAUUAGAUACCCCGGUAGUCCCAUG